CACACUGUAAACGAUGAUAACUCGCUGUCGGCGAUAGACCGUCGGUGGCCAAGCGAAAGCGAUAAGUUAUCCACCUGGGGAGUACGACCGCAAGGUUGAAACUCAAAGGAAUUGACGGGGGCCCGCACAAGCGGAGGAACAUGUGGUUUAAUUCGAUGAUACGCGAGGAACCUUACCCGGGCUCGAACGGUGCAUGAAAGUUCAAGAGAUUGGACAGUCCUUCGGGACAUGUAUCGAGGUGC
This 242-nucleotide ribosomal RNA is filed under the name uncultured Bacteroidales bacterium. RNAcentral's name for it is "partial 16S ribosomal RNA". It matches the Rfam family "Bacterial small subunit ribosomal RNA", at positions 796 to 1041 of the family's 1533-position model. Lineage: Bacteria; Pseudomonadati; Bacteroidota; Bacteroidia; Bacteroidales. The record is from RNAcentral.